This 533-nucleotide unclassified non-coding RNA is filed under the name Hevea brasiliensis (rubber tree). The record is from RNAcentral. Lineage: Eukaryota; Viridiplantae; Streptophyta; Magnoliopsida; Malpighiales; Euphorbiaceae.
CAACAAUAACCAAAAGAAAGAGAGAGAAAGAAAAGAGUUGUACUAAAGUGGUGGUGGUGAAUUAGUAAGAAAUGGCAGGGGUGAAGAUUGCAUGCUUGGCGGUGUUGUGCAUGGUGGUGGUGGUAGCACCGUAUGCGGAAGCGGUUACGUGCGGUCAGGUGCAGGGGAACCUGGCACAGUGCCUGGGGUACCUGAGGAAGGGAGGGGCGGUGCCAGGACCGUGCUGCAAUGGGGUUAGGGCCAUGAACUCGGCUGCUAAGACCUCUGCCGACCGCAAGCAAACUUGCGUAUGCUUGCAACAGGCUUCUAAAAGCAUUACUGGUAUUAAUCCCGAAGCCGCUGCUUCCCUCCCUGGCAAAUGCGGUGUUAACGUUCCUUACAAGAUCAGCCCCUCCACCGACUGCUCCAAGGUGCAUUGAGAUUGAUGGACCAUUGAUUUUCAGCUAGCACAGAUUUACUGCUGUUUUGAAUAAUAAUAAGAUGAAAGUGUGGAUUCCACCCAGAGUCCCCAUUUGUGUGUGUGUGUGUGUGUG